This 1343-nucleotide ribosomal RNA is filed under the name uncultured bacterium. RNAcentral's name for it is "16S ribosomal RNA". It matches the Rfam family "Bacterial small subunit ribosomal RNA", at positions 28 to 1378 of the family's 1533-position model. The record is from RNAcentral.
GACGAACGUUGGCGGCGUGCUUAACACAUGCAAGUCGAACGGAAAGGCCCUGCUUUUGUGGGGUGCUCGAGUGGCGAACGGGUGAGUAACACGUGAGUAACCUGCCCUUGACUUUGGGAUAACUUCAGGAAACUGGGGCUAAUACCGGAUAGGAGCUCCUGCUGCAUGGUGGGGGUUGGAAAGUUUCGGCGGUUGGGGAUGGACUCGCGGCUUAUCAGCUUGUUGGUGGGGUAGUGGCUUACCAAGGCUUUGACGGGUAGCCGGCCUGAGAGGGUGACCGGCCACAUUGGGACUGAGAUACGGCCCAGACUCCCACGGGAGGCAGCAGUGGGGAAUAUUGCACAAUGGGCGGAAGCCUGAUGCAGCAACGCCGCGUGCGGGAUGACGGCCUUCGGGUUGUAAACCGCUUUCGCCUGUGACGAAGCGUGAGUGACGGUAAUGGGUAAAGAAGCACCGGCUAACUACGUGCCAGCAGCCGCGGUGAUACGUAGGGUGCGAGCGUUGUCCGGAUUUAUUGGGCGUAAAGGGCUCGUAGGUGGUUGAUCGCGUCGGAAGUGUAAUCUUGGGGCUUAACCCUGAGCGUGCUUUCGAUACGGGUUGACUUGAGGAAGGUAGGGGAGAAUGGAAUUCCUGGUGGAGCGGUGGAAUGCGCAGAUAUCAGGAGGAACACCAGUGGCGAAGGCGGUUCUCUGGGCCUUUCCUGACGCUGAGGAGCGAAAGCGUGGGGAGCGAACAGGCUUAGAUACCCUGGUAGUCCACGCUGUAAACGGUGGGUACUAGGUGUGGGGUCCAUUCCACGGGUUCCGUGCCGUAGCUAACGCUUUAAGUACCCCGCCUGGGGAGUACGGCCGCAAGGCUAAAACUCAAAGGAAUUGACGGGGCCCCGCACAAGCGGCGGAGCAUGCGGAUUAAUUCGAUGCAACGCGUAGAACCUUACCUGGGUUUGACAUGGAUCGGGAGUGCUCAGAGAUGGGUGUGCCUCUUUUGGGGUCGGUUCACAGGUGGUGCAUGCCUGUCGUCAGCUCGUGUCGUGAGAUGUUGGGUUAAGUCCCGCAACGAGCGCAACCCUUGUUCACUGUUGCCAGCACGUUAUGGUGGGGACUCAGUGGAGACCGCCGGGGUCAACUCGGAGGAAGGUGGGGAUGACGUCAAGUCAUCAUGCCCCUUAUGUCCAGGGCUUCACGCAUGCUACAAUGGCUGGUACAGAGAGUGGCGAGCCUGUGAGGGUGAGCGAAUCUCGGAAAGCCGGUCUCAGUUCGGAUUGGGGUCUGCAACUCGACCUCAUGAAGUCGGAGUCGCUAGUAAUCGCAGAUCAGCAACGCUGCGGUGAAUACGUUCCCGGG